This 700-nucleotide ribosomal RNA is filed under the name uncultured bacterium. RNAcentral describes it as "bacterial SSU rRNA". It matches the Rfam family "Bacterial small subunit ribosomal RNA", at positions 53 to 767 of the family's 1533-position model. The record is from RNAcentral.
CCUUGCAGUCGAGGGGUAGCAAUACACCGGCGCACGGGUGCGUAACGCGUAUGCAACCUACCUUUAUCUGGGGGAUAGCCCGGGGAAACCCGGAUUAAUACCGCAUAACAAAUUGCUUGGCAUCGAGUGAUUUUAAAAGAUUUAUCGGAUAGAGAUGGGCAUGCGUAAGAUUCGAUAGUUGGCGAGGUAACGGCUCACCAAGUCUACGAUCUUUAGGGGCUCUGAGAGGAGAAUCCCCCACACUGGCACUGAGAUACGGGCCAGACUCCUACGGGAGGCAGCAGUAGGGAAUAUUGGGCAAUGGGCGCAAGCCUGACCCAGCCACACCGCGUGCAGGAAGACGGCCCUCUGGGUUGUAAACUGCUUUUGACUGGGAAGAAAAGACUCCUUGCGAGGAGAGUUGACGGUACCAGCAGAAUAAGCCACGGCUAACUACGUGCCAGCAGCCGCGGUAAUACGUAGGUGGCGAGCGUUAUCCGGAUUUAUUGGGUUUAAAGGGUGCAUAGGCGGCUGAUUAAGUCAGCGGUGAAAGGUAGCAGCUUAACUGUUUUACAUGCCGUUGAUACUGGUUAGCUUGAGUUAACAGAAGGCAGAUAGAAUUUCUGGUGUAGCGGUGAAAUGCUUAGAUACCAGGAGGAAUACCGAUUGCGAAGGCAGUCUGCUGCAGUUACACUGACGCUGAGGCACGAAAGUGCGGGGA